UAUUUUUACUAUUGUUUAUUAUCAUUUUUAUUUUUAUUAGUGCUGUCAUAUUGAUUAAUCACAUCUAACAUAAAAGUUUGUUUGAAUGGUCUCUUGUCAGGUGUUCUCCAAACUCAUCAGGCAUUAUAGAGGAAGACUCAGAGCUGUUAUCUUGGCAAAAGAAGGGUUAAUUGGAAAAAGUAUUUAAUAAAAGGGUGCCAACGUG
Long non-coding RNA from Rhinichthys klamathensis goyatoka, 205 nucleotides. RefSeq lists it as uncharacterized. The record is from RefSeq and is a predicted model, not a curated record. The transcript has 2 exons. Lineage: Eukaryota; Metazoa; Chordata; Actinopteri; Cypriniformes; Leuciscidae.